Molecule: ribosomal RNA, 468 nt
Filed under: uncultured bacterium
Lineage: Bacteria
Description: partial 16S ribosomal RNA
Rfam family: Bacterial small subunit ribosomal RNA
Source: RNAcentral
GACGAACGCUGGCGGCGUGCUUAACACAUGCAAGCCGAACGGAAAGGCCCUGCUUUCGUGGGGUGCUCGAGUGGCGAACGGGUGAGUAACACGUGAGUAACCUGCCCUUGACUUUGGGAUAACUUCAGGAAACUGGGGCUAAUACCGGAUAGGAGCUCCUGCUGCAUGGUGGGGGUCGGACAGUUUCGGCGGUUGGGGAUGGACUGGCGGCUUAUCAGCUUGUUGGUGGGGUAGUGGCUUACCCAGGCUUUGACGGGUAGCCGGCCUGAGAGGGUGACCGGCCACAUUGGGACUGAGAUACGGACCAGACUCCUACGGGAGGCAGCAGUGGGGAAUAUUGCACAAUGGGCGGAAGCCUGAUGCAGCAACGCCGCGUGCGGGAUGAUGGCCUUCGGGUUGUAAACCGCUUUCGCCUGUGACGAAGCGUGAGUGACGGUAAUGGGUAAAGAAGCACCGGCUAACUACGUG